UAGGGUUGCAUGCCUCCUCCUA
This 22-nucleotide non-coding RNA is filed under the name Arabidopsis thaliana (thale cress). The record is from RNAcentral. Lineage: Eukaryota; Viridiplantae; Streptophyta; Magnoliopsida; Brassicales; Brassicaceae.